AAUUAUUGGGCGUAAAGAGCUCGUAGGCGGUUUGUCGCGUCUGCCGUGAAAGUCCGGGGCNUCAACUCCGGAUCUGCGGUGGGUACGGGCAGACUAGAGUGAUGUAGGGGAGACUGGAAUUCCUGGUGUAGCGGUGAAAUGCGCAGAUAUCAGGAGGAACACCGAUGGCGAAGGCAGGUCUCUGGGCAUUAACUGACGCUGAGGAGCGAAAGCAUGGGGAGCGAACAGGAUUAGAUACCCUGGUAGUCCAUGCCGUAAACGUUGGGCACUAGGUGUGGGGGACAUUCCACGUUUUCCGCGCCGUAGCUAACGCAUUAAGUGCCCCGCCUGGGGAGUACGGCCGCAAGGCUAAAACUCAAAGGAAUUGACGGGGGCCCGCACAAGCGGCGGAGCAUGCGGAUUAAUUCGAUGCAACGCGAAGAACCUUACCAAGGCUUGACAUGAACCGGAAAGACCUGGAAACAGGUGCCCCGCUUGCGGUCGGUUUACAGGUGGUGCAUGGUUGUCGUCAGCUCGUGUCGUGAGAUGUUGGGUUAAGUCCCGCAACGAGCGCAACCCUCGUUCUAUGUUGCCAGCACGUGAUGGUGGGGACUCAUAGGAGACUGCCGGGGUCAACUCGGAGGAAGGUGGGGACGACGUCAAAUCAUCAUGCCCCUUAUGUCUUGGGCUUCACGCAUGCUACAAUGGCCGGUACAAAGGGUUGCGAUACUGUGAGGUGGAGCUAAUCCCAAAAAGCCGGUCUCAGUUCGGAUUGGGGUCUGCAACUCGACCCCAUGAAGUCGGAGUCGCUAGUAAUCGCAGAUCAGCAACGCUGCGGUGAAUACGUUCCCGNGGCCUUGUACACACCGCCCGUCAAGUCACGAAAGUUGGUAACACCCGA
RNAcentral lists this ribosomal RNA (880 nucleotides) under Pseudarthrobacter siccitolerans. RNAcentral describes it as "bacterial SSU rRNA". It matches the Rfam family "Bacterial small subunit ribosomal RNA", at positions 549 to 1424 of the family's 1533-position model. The record is from RNAcentral. Lineage: Bacteria; Bacillati; Actinomycetota; Actinomycetes; Micrococcales; Micrococcaceae.